This 234-nucleotide unclassified non-coding RNA is filed under the name plant metagenome. Its description in RNAcentral is "partial contains small subunit ribosomal RNA, internal transcribed spacer 1, and 5.8S ribosomal RNA". The record is from RNAcentral.
UUUCCGUAGGUGAACCUGCGGAAGGAUCAUUAAUGUGUUUGGGCCUCACGGCUCUUCAUUCCGGCGCUGUGCGCCUUCGGGCUGCACGCUGAGGGAGCAUAUAUCCACCCCUGUGCACACACACGGUGGCGAGCUGGGUAACGGCUCGCCGCUGAUCUUUACACACGUCUAAAAGUCAUUGUAUGUUUAUUUGAGAUAAAAACACAACUUUCAGCAACGGAUCUCUUGGCUCUC